RNAcentral lists this ribosomal RNA (501 nucleotides) under uncultured bacterium. RNAcentral's name for it is "partial 16S ribosomal RNA". It matches the Rfam family "Bacterial small subunit ribosomal RNA", at positions 30 to 523 of the family's 1533-position model. The record is from RNAcentral.
AUUGAACGCUGGCGGCAGGCUUAACACAUGCAAGUCGAGCGGAGCGAGGGUGCUUGCACCUUAGCUUAGCGGCGGACGGGUGAGUAAUGCUUAGGAAUCUGCCUAUUAGUGGGGGACAACAUUCCGAAAGGAAUGCUAAUACCGCAUACGCCCUACGGGGGAAAGCAGGGGAUCUUCGGACCUUGCGCUAAUAGAUGAGCCUAAGUCGGAUUAGCGAGUUGGUGGGGUAAAGGCCUACCAAGGCGACGAUCUGUAGCGGGUCUGAGAGGAUGAUCCGCCACACUGGGACUGAGACACGGCCCAGACCCCUACGGGAGGCAGCAGUGGGGAAUAUUGGACAAUGGGCGGAAGCCUGAUCCAGCCAUGCCGCGUGUGUGAAGAAGGCCUUUUGGUUGUAAAGCACUUUAAGCGAGGAGGAGGCUACUUAGAUUAAUACUCUGGGAUAGUGGACGUUACUCGCAGAAUAAGCACCGGCUAACUCUGUGCCAGCCGCCGCAGUAA